AUCAGUCAUCUACAAUAUACAUAUACUGUAUAUAUUAAAGACACGUCGUGGAUUCACAAAAGGACAUGAAGAGGAUGCCAACUGUGUCUUUUUCAGUGUCUUCUAUGUUUUUAGAUAUCUGCGUCUCAUGUCUGGUGUUCUGUCUUUUACUUUGCAUUUUGUCUUUUGUUGUGAAGCACUUUGUGACAUCUGCUCCUGAAAGGUGUUAUAUACAUAAACAUAUUAUUAUUAACAGAUGUUUUAAAAGCAUCAUCUUCCAGAUGUGAUGUGAUGUGAGUGAUAUUUGAGCCGUCGCCACGCAGCCCUUUGAAUAAAUGCUCCACCUGUGUUUGUCUAACUGGGUUGAUUUUCACACAGGACCAGCAGUCCACAAUCACCUAAUUGCAAUCAGUGUAAGCAGAACCUGAGAGGUUUCCUUCCAUGUCCUGUUUCCAUCAUUCCUCACCCUCAAACCUUCAGGAGAAAGACAGGAUGGAGCAUGACUGAUUGUUAUCCAGGCUGGUCAUUUAAAUCAACCGUCUGCUGCUGAACGUGGGCGUGCUGGUUGAACUCACUGCCAUGGCUCUUCUUCCAUUUGGAGUUUCUUGGCUUCUCACUCUGCUGUUAUGGACCUGUGUUUGUGUUCUUCCUCAAAGAGGUUAUGGCUACUCUCUCAAUGGGGAUGAAUUCAGCAGCCAUGCAGGCGUGUUUGGUCCACAAACAUCAGACCAGUUUCAUUCUGGAGCAGCUUUAAACACAAACCACGACUCUGUUAGUCCAAGAGAUGAGAUGAAACCCCGACGCUUUGUUUCCCUUCAGAGAGAACCAGUCUAUCAUGACAACAGUGAGGAUGCUAGCUCUGUUACUAGCCAUGAAGAGAUGGGACAAAGCAAACCAGACUUAGAACAUGAUGUCCCCCCCCGCUCCCUCUGUGCUGAAAUAUGAGCGUGAAGGAUCUGGUUCUCAACACCCCUUCGGCCUUUUAGUGAAGGAGCACAACAAAGAGCAAACUAUGGAGGGCACCAGUUUCCCAACAAUCAGAGAUGUCAAACGGUUUAUAGAAACAAUGAAGAGAUCCUUCUUAAUGCCAGGAAGUGACUUGAGUAGACAUUUUCAAACAGCACGGGAAUCUACGGAACAUGAGAUGGCUUCUAAUGCUCGAAAUGUGAAGGGGGAGCGUGACACGAGCUACAGGUCUAAUUCUGCAAAAGAAGGCUCUGCCCAUGAUGACGCCAGUGAAGCUGAAGUCUGGAGUGAAGCUAUGAAUGCAGCGUUUGAACAAAGUGAACAGGACGCCAACUACCAAAUGCCAAGUGAAAGCCUCUCUGUCCCCGAUGCUGUCGACUCCACUGCAGGUCUCCUCUCUACAAGAGCUAAUGACGGCCAAGACUCCGACUCAGGCCCAGGCUCCGCUCUCUACCCACGCCGUCAUUUAGCAGCCACAGAGCAGCUUUCAAGGAAUUAUGGAAGUUUUGACAGUGGUGGCCUUUCUGGGGAAAACACUGAUGUUUUCAUAAGUUCUCCUCACGUGCACACUGAACAUGUUCAGUCAACAGGCUUCACGGUCCCUGAACAAACUCCCUCUGGCUCAUUCUUUGGAGGGGAUUUGUCUUUCAGUGGCCACGUGACUGCAUCCCCCGUCAACCCUCCAAACAGCCCAUCUCAAGACUUCAGCUACUAUUCAAGUAAGACAUCCGAUAUAACCCGUCUGAACUCUGAGAACAUCCAACAACCAACAUAUACACCUCACAGGAAAGACUCUUUAACAGGGUAUGGACUAGAUAAUGAUUUUCAAAGUGAGGAGCUGAGCAGAGUGACUCCAGCCAAUGUCCCGUCAGCUCCGAUGCCCCCAUCUUUGAAUUCCUACGGCAAAAGUGUGUACGUCCGUGCACCAAGAGGUCAACACUACAUCCCAGAUUAUCCACCAACGCGUAGGGAAAGACCAGCCCAAUCAUUUCAGGCAUAUCAACCCACUGUUGGCGAGGAAUCAAAGGGUAUAAACUCCCCUCCCACCACCCACCUGCCUGUAUCUGCUGAUCCUCUGUCUUCCAGCUCUGAUGAUCCUUCACCACAGAGUCAUAGUGGUCAUGUGGGAGUUCAAACAAGCAGCCCACAUGAUGCUCACAAUCAAGUUUUCAACAGAAAGCAGCCGGUCAGAUUACACACAAUGUUUACUGUGAACCCUUCCAGCUCUCCUCCCGGCUCCAGCAGACAUGAUGGCUAUCUCCGAGACCAGAUGGACAGUAUUAGUCGUCCUUCUACCCCGAUGGCCCGGGACGAAGACGAGGAGAAAUCAGACCUCUCCGAGCAGAAUCUGAUCUCUGCCACUCGGGGAUCAAAACAGAUGGCCGACAAUACCAGUGCAGUGAAGGAGAAUCAAAACUUUUCAAGUGAGACAAAAAUGAUGGCCUGACAUUUCAGAAAGAACCAAAAAGUCAAUUACACUUGGAGGUAAAUAAGUCUGUUUAAAGAUGUAGGAUCGCAUUAGAGGCAAAUAUAUAAAUACCAAAAAUCUAGAAGACUAUUUACGUCACACUUGUUGUUUUCUUUGCCAUCUUAAAUGUAGGUGAAACCGCUGACAUCAAGUCCUCAGUAAAUAUGGGAUCUGUUGACAUCUUCAACCGGGAGGGAAAUCAAGUUUCUGUAGUUGUACACACGUCCGCUCUGCUCUGACUAGUGAAGGCAUGAAAUAUAGUAAAGCUUUUUACCUCCUUGUCUUGAUUGUCAUAUGCUCAUUAAAAAUGUUCCUUUCUUUAGUCAUA
This is an RNA transcript of Sebastes umbrosus (honeycomb rockfish), 2741 nucleotides long. RefSeq lists it as uncharacterized. The record is from RefSeq and is a predicted model, not a curated record. The transcript has 6 exons. Lineage: Eukaryota; Metazoa; Chordata; Actinopteri; Perciformes; Sebastidae.